This is a non-coding RNA of Lactuca sativa (garden lettuce), 1640 nucleotides long. NCBI's taxonomy places the organism in Eukaryota, Viridiplantae, Streptophyta, Magnoliopsida, Asterales, Asteraceae. The record is from RefSeq and is a predicted model, not a curated record.
AUUAAAUAUAUAUGAAGAUAAAAGGAGUUUAUAUGAACGGACAUAAACAAACGUAAACGAACAAUAUAAACGAACGUUCAUGAACAUAAUUGAACGAACGAGACCAUUGUUCAUGUUCGUUUAUUUAUUAAAUAAACGAACAUAAACAAACUUCCCGCCGAACAAUUCAUUGAACGUUCAGUUCGUUUACGGACUCAAAAGACAUUGUAACACAACUCUUAGUACUCUAACGUAUUGUAACACAACUCUAACAGGACCCUAAAAAGGUAUCGGAUGUAACGUUGACAUAAAAAGACAAAAAGGUGCGGCUAAGUGACCCCUCUCGGCUAACAAAAUGGAUAAAUUUGUAAUUCUUUUUUAAAAUAAAAAAAGAGUGCGCGGGAAUUUAGAAAAUAGAUACUUCUCUCAUACUCUUCCACUAUAGACCCUCUCGCUCCCCCACUAGCGUAUUGCAGAACCAUAGGUAAACCCUCUAACCUCUGUCAUCAUCAAUGGCGCCGACGAAGCGUAAAAAUGACGGGAAAGCAGACAUCGCUUCCAAGAAUCUCAAGUUAACAAGAGCGACUCGAAGGUCGACGCGCCAAGCGAGUCAUGGGGCUGCGAAGGUGGUGCUUGAGGCGGCGCCGAAGAUCAAGAAGGCUAAGCUCAGCUCCAAGGAGAAGCCUGAUACAAAGGCUAAGCCCGGUUCCAAAGAUAAGCGACAACCAAAACCUAAAACAACAGAUGAAGCAGCAGCAGCAGAAGAUCCACCGUCUAACGGCGUAAAUGGUUCAAAGACGAUCGUGAUUGAGCGCUGAAUGCAAUUUUUCUUAAUAGUCGGAAAAAUGAAGUAAAACGAGAUAACGGCGAAGGACUGAGAAACCCAAGACUAUGGAUUUCAAAUCACAAGAAAUGAAUCAACUUUUAAAAUGGGAAUGGUUAGAUUAGGGUUCUUUUUCCUGUUUGGCUGAGAGGUGUGCAAUAGGGUUUCUUAACAUAGUCUUUUGUACUCCAGCAAACAGUGCACUCAAUUAAAAAAAUGGGCUGCGAAGGUAAAGCUUGGUUUAGAGACUGCUGUAUCUGGCAUUAAUGUACUCGUCAACCCAGAAAAGAUUCUGUCCAGAGAUCUUGAAGAAUUCUUAUCUUCUUCAUCUAAAAUGAAGCAUAUAAAAACCUCAUCGAUCCCAUGUUCAAUAUCUGAGAGUAACAGUAACAGUAAAAGUGUGGAUCUUGAUUCCACUUCAGGGACAAUGAAUUGGCAGAAAGAUUUGGUUAAAGCUAUUCAUGAGUUGGUUUCAUUUUACGAAUUAAGGUUCAAUCAUGUUGUAAAAUUGGAAGAUAAUCUAUUCAAAAGCAAGAAAACAGCUCAGAUUUUUUUGCUCCAACAAGAUCGAAAAGAAAGGCUCCGUAUGAUCCAAGAGAUUAUAGCAGCCGACAUAACUGCUAAAAACUAAAAAGCAAUAGGAGGGGCAAUUUUGUAAAAAUGGUGUUGGUGGGGCAUUUUGGGGGUGUUAUCAUUCAAACCUAAAUCUCUAUAUAAUGUGUAUUUGAAUCUAUUUCUCUGUGGCGAUAAUCGUUCAGUUUUCAGUCUUUUUGAAUUCUGAGUUAUUGUAGCCUUCAUUCAUCAACCCUUAAUAGUCAUUAAGUGCUUAGUUCAUCAA